CAAUCAGGGCAUCCGGGUCCACCCCCCACCAAGGCCACAGUGAUUGGCUCUGGCUUGGGCAUGUGACCUCAGCUAGCCAAUCAGAAUCAGCCUCAUUACUUUGACCGAGAGAUGUGAGACCCAGGUGCUCACCUUUACCUGCGGGAUGUGAAUACAGCUCCAUGGGGCCGCAAGGCUGCUCACAGCCGUCUUGGGAGCUGCCACUGGAGAAGAUGGGACAGAGGGGUGAAAAGAAACGGAGUCCUCGAUGACGUUGCUGAGCUGUGGUGUCAACUUUAGUUGAAGCCAGCUAGUGUGGAUUUUCCAGUUACAAAUUCCCUUUACAGUUUAGGCCGUUUGAGUCAGCUUUUCUGUUACUUGCAUCGGAGACUAGCAAAAAUAUUUAACAACCAGUACUUGGGGCGCUGAGCAAUCAGAAUGGUUCAUGCCUGCGCCCGACAUGAACACUUUUCUUGCAUUGUGGAAAGUCCUGGGGGAGGCACCAGGGCAGCUGGAGUGGUCAUGAUGAGGGACGUUUGCCGGCCUCGAGGCAGCAUAACCUACCAGCCAGUACAGAAACCUUUUAGUAUCUCAACAAUCUCCAUAGCAAGAUAGAUUGUCCAAGCAGAAUAUUAGCUUUCCUUAUGGAGUGAUACAACCGGGAUUUGACAUGGGCUAGUGUGAAUGGAUUUCUGUUUCCUGCAACUGGGGGAAAAAAAAAAGGCAUGCUCUCAUGAAUCAAACCUUUAGGAAAUAACAAAUAGCAGUGAAAUGUCACUUUAAUCGAAUGAGGUCAUUUCAGCUGCGAGUCAGGCAGAAACUACGGAGAUUUUGAGCGUGAGCUGCCAAAAGAUCCGCACCCUUUGGCCCAGGAAUCCUGCCUCUGGGACGCUCAAGGAUGUGCAUCGCGACAUUAUUUAUAAUGGGAGGAAACUGGAAACAGCUUCAAUGUCUGGCAACACUGCCCGGUUGAGUAAACAUCGUGCAAACAUUAGAGAUUGUGUUUACACAAAGAUGUUUUAACAGGGGAACAGCUUACGUUUUAAGAAGGGAAAAAGCAGGACUGUAUAAACAAUUUGCUCACACAGUUAUGUAAGACACACACACUCACACACACACACACUCACGCACAC
This 1112-nucleotide long non-coding RNA is filed under the name Equus caballus (horse). Its description in RNAcentral is "lncRNA (ENSECAG00000045154.1)". Lineage: Eukaryota; Metazoa; Chordata; Mammalia; Perissodactyla; Equidae. The record is from RNAcentral.